RNAcentral lists this ribosomal RNA (910 nucleotides) under Bacillus subtilis. Its description in RNAcentral is "bacterial SSU rRNA". It matches the Rfam family "Bacterial small subunit ribosomal RNA", at positions 45 to 940 of the family's 1533-position model. Lineage: Bacteria; Bacillati; Bacillota; Bacilli; Caryophanales; Bacillaceae. The record is from RNAcentral.
GGCCUAAUACAUGCAAGUCGAGCGGACAGAUGGGAGCUUGCUCCCUGAUGUUAGCGGCGGACGGGUGAGUAACACGUGGGUAACCUGCCUGUAAGACUGGGAUAACUCCGGGAAACCGGGGCUAAUACCGGAUGGUUGUCUGAACCGCAUGGUUCAGACAUAAAAGGUGGCUUCGGCUACCACUUACAGAUGGACCCGCGGCGCAUUAGCUAGUUGGUGAGGUAACGGCUCACCAAGGCGACGAUGCGUAGCCGACCUGAGAGGGUGAUCGGCCACACUGGGACUGAGACACGGCCCAGACUCCUACGGGAGGCAGCAGUAGGGAAUCUUCCGCAAUGGACGAAAGUCUGACGGAGCAACGCCGCGUGAGUGAUGAAGGUUUUCGGAUCGUAAAGCUCUGUUGUUAGGGAAGAACAAGUGCCGUUCAAAUAGGGCGGCACCUUGACGGUACCUAACCAGAAAGCCACGGCUAACUACGUGCCAGCAGCCGCGGUAAUACGUAGGUGGCAAGCGUUGUCCGGAAUUAUUGGGCGUAAAGGGCUCGCAGGCGGUUUCUUAAGUCUGAUGUGAAAGCCCCCGGCUCAACCGGGGAGGGUCAUUGGAAACUGGGGAACUUGAGUGCAGAAGAGGAGAGUGGAAUUCCACGUGUAGCGGUGAAAUGCGUAGAGAUGUGGAGGAACACCAGUGGCGAAGGCGACUCUCUGGUCUGUAACUGACGCUGAGGAGCGAAAGCGUGGGGAGCGAACAGGAUUAGAUACCCUGGUAGUCCACGCCGUAAACGAUGAGUGCUAGUGUUAGGGGUUUCCGCCCCUUAGUGCUGCAGCUAACGCAUUAAGCACUCCGCCUGGGGAGUACGGUCGCAAGACUGAAACUCAAAGGAAUUGACCGGGGCCCGCACAGCGUGGCGCAU